CCCCUAGAUGUUCUGGGCCGCACGCGCGCUACACUGAACAGUUCAACAAGUCUUAACCUUGGCCGAUAGGUCUGGGUAAUCUUUGAACGCUGUUCGUGAUUGGGAUAGACCUUUGCAAUUAUGGGUCUUCAACGAGGAAUUCCUAGUAAACGCAAGUCAUCAGCUUGCAUUGAUUACGUCCCUGCCCUUUGUACACACCGCCCGUCGCACCUACCGAUUGAAUGGUCCGGUGAAAUCUCGGGACGGCGGCUUGGUCGCUUGCGUCCGACUGCUGAAACUUGAUUAAACCAUAUCAUUUAGGGGAAGGUGAANUCGUANCA
RNAcentral lists this ribosomal RNA (320 nucleotides) under uncultured eukaryote. RNAcentral's name for it is "partial 18S ribosomal RNA". It matches the Rfam family "Eukaryotic small subunit ribosomal RNA", at positions 1470 to 1796 of the family's 1831-position model. The record is from RNAcentral.